ACUAAGAGGAACUGGACACCAGGAGCCUCAUACCAGGACUGCCCAGCCGAGCCACUCGAUUCCUGACCCACAUGGCCCUUGAGAUGACAAGUGAUUGCUGCUUAAAGUCACUGAGUUCUGGAAUAAUUUACAUCAUGGCAAUAGUUCCAAUAUUCAGUAUCAGGCCUGGUCCUCCUAAUCUACUGGAGAAGAGUUGGUUAUGGCAUGGCAUCUAAUAGUCAUCUCUUCUUAAUACAAAUGAUAAUAAAUUUCACUGCUAAGACGACAAUCAUCUGAAAAAAACAGACAUUUGCUUAUGUUUUAAAGUCAUAAUAGCAAACUGGGGCUCUCUUCAACAUCUGGAUUCAUCUCAGAGCACUGGCAAUCUGUGUUUAACAGCAGUCAUGUCUUUACCAGAUGUAGAAAGAAUGUUCUCUUCUUUUGGACUUACCUAAAUAUCAUUUGGAAAUUGGAAGAACAGGAAAGCAUAUCCUUUUUCACUAACUAUAAAAAUAAUUUGGAAGGAGAAGGAAACAAAAAAAACCUUGAAGUUUUCUAUGCUGGUCUACAUGGUCUUACAAUGAAUCUCAGAGCAACGGUUUAUGACUUAAAUUAUAUGCUGUGUUCCUUAGCAUACUUUUUCUUCAAAAACUAGUAAUUCUAAAUUGUAUAAUUCUUGACUAUGAUAAAAGAGCCCAUUUCUUGACCAUGUCAUUUAUACUGGACUUUUGUUACUGAUGGGGAAAAAUCCAGAAUUUGUAAUAAUUAUGUCUUGGAUAUGCAAAUGGUUGAUUAUUUUCCUAACAAUUCCCAAAAUAUCCACAUCAUAAAGCAGAAUUAAAGAUGGUUUGCCUCUCA
Molecule: long non-coding RNA, 837 nt
Filed under: Homo sapiens (human)
Lineage: Eukaryota; Metazoa; Chordata; Mammalia; Primates; Hominidae
Description: novel transcript
Source: RNAcentral